AUUUGCAACACACGAAGAUUAUUGUCAUUCAAGAUAGUCUGUACUUCAGUCAUUCUCCGUGUCACCCGAAGUGCAAUUAUUUAAAGCACUCUUUGUAGAUUCCAGGACAAGCCAGCACAGAGGGGUGGAAUAUUUGUCAACAACAGCACAGUAGUGUUAGGGCCACAAAAAGGGGUGUUAUUGAACACAGCGCUGGCUCACUGAUGCCACAAAAACAUACUUGAAAAUACCUAAACCACACAGAAUGGGCCUGAAACGCAGUUUUCCUUUGUGGAAGGUCAUGUCACAUUCUACUGGAAAAUAACAGCCCUGUUUAAAGGUGACACAAUCACGUUACAGACUGGGUAUCUAUGGUCGGAUUACCUCAACAGGAAGAUGGUGUAUGUCCAAGACCACAGGAGCACAUCAACCUUUUUCAGCCCAAUCAGACACAGUGGGGAUGAUUCACAUACAGUAUUCUUAGUAGUAUGGCAAAGUUGGAGUAAAAUUGUUAAAAACUCCUAUAUGUUUAGUCUAUAGUCUUUGUUUAGUUAAUCUGUAUACAUCAGGUGUUUCUGAAAGGAGUCAUAAAUGGGCACAAAAAAUGUUCAGUAGCUAUUCUGAAACUGUCAUUUAUCUUCAUCUAUUUCUUUGGCUAUUUUGACUUUUCCCUUAUCUGACGAAAAUGCAGUGGGUCAAGUCCCUGAACUCACAUGAAAUAUUUUGUUUUCCUUCUUCUUUCCUCCUUGAGAUUAUGAAAAGGAAGCACAUUUACACACAAAAAAAACAUGUUGCCUUUGGGUAGAGAUAUCCACCAUUUGACUGUCAUUUUGUUCUCUUUCCCCUCCUCCAUUUUAGCCAUUCAUACACAACACCUCCUCUCAGCUGUCCCCGACUUAAUCUCACAAGGUUUCACACACUUCAGAAAAUAUGCAAGAUACUGAAGCAAAGAGCAACUGCAAAAUGAGACAGGCCUGGCACAAAGACAGGGCUCAAAAUAGACAAAUACAGUCUCUGUUAUCCAGCUGCCCUCUUUAAAUCACUUGUGGCCCCCUACAACAAGUGGUCACAAGCCGGAGCAAACAGGACUGUUUCAUCAAAAAAAAAAAAAAAAAGACCAUGAACAACGUCCUCCUUACUCCGUAUCAAAUCCAAGAACCAAAAAGAAGUUCCAAAAUGAAUUUUUUCCCCUCUCCAUGUGCAUGUUCAAGGCUCUUGUGUGUGUUUUCCUUCCUGUCAAAGAAAUGUGUUCUUUGCCGUGCAUUCCAGAGCAUCGGCAAGGACACUAGCAGGAGAGACGAAUGGAAAAGUUGUGUUACAGGAGGAGAACGUUCAGAGAGGGAGUGAGAGAGCAGGAGAGAGA
Long non-coding RNA from Alosa sapidissima (American shad), 1342 nucleotides. RefSeq lists it as uncharacterized. The transcript is spliced from 5 exons. The record is from RefSeq and is a predicted model, not a curated record. NCBI's taxonomy places the organism in Eukaryota, Metazoa, Chordata, Actinopteri, Clupeiformes, Clupeidae.